GUGCCUGGUGUCACAGAGCAACUGAAGCUGGGAACUUCAAGAUCGAUCGUUGCAAAGAGACCGCUGGCUGAAUCAGAUGAUGACCAAUGUGGGGAAUAUUGAAUGAUACGAUCCCAUCUUUUACUAGGAUACCCAUAUUCCAACUACUGUUAUGUGGUUUAUUACUAAUGCUUCAAUUAUACACAAAUGGCACCUCACCUAAGUGUUACAGUGACAGCCACACAAACACCAAUCAUACCAGCUCAUUCCCAUGCUAAUUGACCGGCUGGAGCAGGACCACCACCUCUCAACACAGCAUGGCCACACUAGACUUGAGGAAUCCUUGUCAUAGGAAGAAAAGCACAGCAGGUGGUGUGCUUCUGGUCACCUGGUGAUUUACAAGCUGUCUUUCUCCUUGCAUUAUCUGUUCAGUGCAUGGAGGAGGGGAAGGAAGAGGCUGCUCAAACUGGCAGGUUCUCCUGACCACGUGUCCUUCUACUGGCAGCUGUGUGGGUGUGAUGGGGAUGGAAGGGAUGCAUCCCGGCAGUUGGCAAGGCUGCUGCAAGCUGUUCCUAGGAGGUGGGAACAAUCAUCACCUGGAAGCCAGCCCAUCUCAGAUCCACUCUCCUCCCACAGCUCAGGACAGCCUGGUGAUGGAUAAGGCCUUCUCGAUGUUCUUUUAGGCUUUUGCAGAAGCCUCAUGAAGAGACUGCAAGGUCUCAGCAAGAAGACUGAUUUUGCGUCAGAUCCAAGCCUCUGAGAGAGCCUGCAAGCGCUGAGCUACUGCCAACCCACAGGGAAUGAGUCCGGAGGGUACUGUUUGGGUAACAGUGGAACCCAAGAGAGUUUGUUUAGCUGUAGAUGCAAUACGAAUUGUUCCUGCAGUUUAUUUUUAUAUGCUUAGAGGGUGAAUGAAUUUGGAAGAGUUGGAGAGAAUCAGAGAAUUAGCAGAAUGAAUUAUUAUUGGGGGUUAUUUAUACAAAAUGAGAGAAAUAUAUCUCCUGGUGCAACAGUGUAUGUCCAGGACUAAUGUGAGUUGCUGCUUUUGCAGUAAUGCCUACUGGGAAAUAUUUACAAGAAGCUUUUUCCCCCAAUAAGGAAAAGACCAAGAUACAGAAGAGUUCCCCCAGAUGAAGGCAUCAGGGAAAGACUGGUCUGUAGCAGGGAAACCUAGGCAAUGAGUGCUGAGAGCCCGGCGGGAGAGGAUUGUGGAGCCCCAGUCCUGGCCAGUCUGGUCCCAGAGGGCUGCAGUGUACAUGGCUAGUCUGGUCAUGUCAACUAUCCCACCAGUGCAAGAGAGACAUAGCGAGCCCACCUGCAGACACCUCACCCUGGACAAACAAGAUUGGACGUGGCAUCAAGGGACUCUGUUUGGAGAUAUACAAUGGAGAGGAAAUCAAUGCUGAAAGACUGUGAAAAAUAAAUGCACAAAGAUGAUUUAGGAUGUUUUUUAGCUUUUGGGAAGAAGAGGGCUAUCCCAAGCAUGUGGGAAACACAGGACAGCUAAAAAGCUUUGGUGGGGGGAGCACAGAGGAAGACUUUAUUCCCUGGUUUGGCUGUUACCUGGCACAGAGGAGGGGAGCACUUUCUCCAAGGGGCCCGUGACACAGCCAGCCACGUUUGCAGCCUUCAGCUGAACGGCAAGAACACUGUAAGUCGUGUCCACACAAUGUUGUCGAACUGUUACUAGAUGCAGUGUUAGGAUUACACCUACUGAGGCAAAAAUAGACCUGUGGAUCCACCUUGGGCAUGCAGCGCAUGAUUAGGAGUGUGUCA
Harpia harpyja (harpy eagle) is the source of this 1755-nucleotide long non-coding RNA. RefSeq lists it as uncharacterized. The record is from RefSeq and is a predicted model, not a curated record. The transcript is spliced from 3 exons. NCBI's taxonomy places the organism in Eukaryota, Metazoa, Chordata, Aves, Accipitriformes, Accipitridae.